CAAUAGCGUAUAUUAAAGUUGUUGCAGUUAAAAAGCUCGUAGUUGAAUUUCUGUCAGGAGUGACCGGGCCUUUGGAUGAACUUCCAUUGUUUUUUGCUCUGUUUGUCAUCUCUAGACAUCCUGAAAUAUUUUUUAAAAAUAUUUCUCUUUUACUGUUAGCAAAAUAGAGUGUUCCAAGCAAAGCGUAGUUUUGAAUACAUUAGAAUGGAAUAAUAAGAUAGGACUUUGGUGCUAUUUUGUUGGUUUGCACACCAAGGUAAUGAUUAAUAGGGACAGUUGGGGUAUUCGUAUUUAAUUGUCAGAGGUGAAAUUCUUGGAUUUAUGAAAGACGAACUACUGCGAAAGCAUUUACCAAGGAUGUUUUCAUUAA
This 370-nucleotide ribosomal RNA is filed under the name uncultured eukaryote. RNAcentral's name for it is "partial 18S ribosomal RNA". It matches the Rfam family "Eukaryotic small subunit ribosomal RNA", at positions 592 to 976 of the family's 1831-position model. The record is from RNAcentral.